Molecule: ribosomal RNA, 514 nt
Filed under: uncultured bacterium
Lineage: Bacteria
Description: partial 16S ribosomal RNA
Rfam family: Bacterial small subunit ribosomal RNA
Source: RNAcentral
AGCGAACGCUGGCGGCGUGCCUAACACAUGCAAGUCGAACGUGAAUGGGAGCAAUCCCUAGUAAAGUGGCGUACGGGUGAGUAACACGUAGGUAAUCUACCUGUGAGUCUGGAAUAACCUGCCGAAAGGCGGGCUAAUACUGGAUAGAGCGAAGAACUCGUAAAGGGUUUUUCGGGAAAGGGAGCCCGCAAGGGCCUUUGCUUACAGAUGAGCCUGCGUCCCAUCAGCUAGCUGGUAGGGUAACGGCCUACCAAGGCUAUGACGGGUAGCUGGUCUGAGAGGAUGAUCAGCCACACUGGAACUGAAACACGGUCCAGACUCCUACGGGAGGCAGCAGUGGGGAAUCUUGCGCAAUGGACGAAAGUCUGACGCAGCCACGCCGCGUGAGUGAAGAAGGCCUUCGGGUUGUAAAGCUCUGUCGCCCGGGACGAACAUCUUUGGUGUUAACAGCAUCAAGGACUGACGGUACCGGGAGAGGAAGCACCGGCUAACUCUGUGCCAGCCGCCGCCGUAA